CCUGACUGCUAUCGGAUUGAUACUAAGCCAUGCGAGUCAUUGUAGUAAUACAAGGCAGACGGCUCAGUAACGCGUAGUCAACCUAACCUAUGGACGGGAAUAACCUCGGGAAACUGAGAAUAAUGCCCGAUAGAACAUUAUGCCUGGAAUGGUUUAUGUUCCAAACGAUUUAUCGCCAUAGGAUGGGACUGCGGCCUAUCAGUUUGUUGGUGAGGUAAUGGCCCACCAAGACUAUUACAGGUACGGGCUCUGAGAGGAGUAGCCCGGAGAUGGGUACUGAGACACGGACCCAGGCCCUAUGGGGCGCAGCAGGCGAGAAAACUUUGCAAUGUGCGAAAGCACGACAAGGUUAAUCCGAGUGGUUUCUGCUAAAGGAACCUUUUGUCAGUCCUAAAAACACUAACGAAUAAGGGGUGGGCAAGUUCUGGUGUCAGCCGCCGCGGUAAAACCAGCACCUCAAGUGGUCAGGAUGAUUAUUGGGCCUAAAGCAUCCGUAGCCGGCUCUGUAAGUUUUCGGUUAAAUCUGUACGCUCAACGUACAGGCUGCCGGAAAUACUGCACAGCUAGGGAGUGGGAGAGGUAGACGGUACUCGGCAGGAAGGGGUAAAAUCCUUUGAUCUAUUGAUGACCACCUGUGGCGAAGGCGGUCUACCAGAACACGUCCGACGGUGAGGGAUGAAAGCUGGGGGAGCAAACCGGAUUAGAUACCCGGGUAGUCCCAGCUGUAAACUAUGCAAACUCAGUGAUGCAUUGGCUUAUGGCCAAUGCAGUGCUGCAGGAAGCCGUUAAGUUUGCCGCCUGGGAAGUACGUACGCAAGUAUGAAACUUAAAGGAUUGGCGGGGAGCACMCAGGGUGAAGCUGCGUUC
Molecule: ribosomal RNA, 867 nt
Filed under: uncultured archaeon
Lineage: Archaea
Description: bacterial SSU rRNA
Rfam family: Archaeal small subunit ribosomal RNA
Source: RNAcentral